RNAcentral lists this transfer RNA (64 nucleotides) under Anaspis sp. ANA01. Its description in RNAcentral is "tRNA-Leu". Lineage: Eukaryota; Metazoa; Arthropoda; Insecta; Coleoptera; Scraptiidae. The record is from RNAcentral.
UCUAAUAUGGCAGAUUAGUGCAAUGGAUUUAAACCCCAUACAUAAAACAAAAUUUUUGUUAGAA